UAUCUUUGUGUAUGUCAGGGAUGGGCAACUGGCGGUCCGCGGGCCGCAUGCAGCCCGCUUCAUCACUCAAAGU
Pangasianodon gigas (Mekong giant catfish) is the source of this 73-nucleotide non-coding RNA. The record is from the annotation of a GenBank genome assembly. NCBI's taxonomy places the organism in Eukaryota, Metazoa, Chordata, Actinopteri, Siluriformes, Pangasiidae.